CCUGGUCGAUGAUGAUGGUGAAAAUUUUCGCGCUUUAAUAAAAUUACUGCAAGACAAAUUUAACGAUAAAGAAACGGAAAAAUCAUUGAAAAUACAGAUUUUAACAUUAUUACCUGAACAAUGGAGUGAAAGACGUAUUUCUGAAACUAUGAAUACAUCAAGACAUAUGUCAAGGGUAGCAAAAGCGUUGGUUGAAGAAAAAGGUCUACUUUCAGUACCUGAAUCAAAAUUAGGGAGAAAAAUUGCAGAUCAAGUGAAAUUGAAAGUUGAAAAUUUUUAUAAUGAUGAUGAGUACAGUGCUCCGAUGCCAGGUAUGAAAGAUUUUGUUUCAGUUCGAAAUGAUGAUGGUAAUCGAGUACCCGUCCAAAAAAAGACUUGUCCUGUCUAACUUAAAAGAAUUAUACCAAUGUUUUCGGGAAAUAAACGCUACAGAGAAAAUUGGAUUUUCGAGAUUUGCUUCUCUGCGACCUAAACAUUGUGUGUUAGCAGGGGCAAGUGGAACACAUACCAUCUGUGUCUGUAUGAUCCAUCAAAACGUUAAGUUAAUGAUGCUUGGUGCGAAUAUUCAUUCUCUAACAAGAAAUACAGAUAUAUCCAUUACACACUAUAGUGAUUGUUUGAGUUUGAUUGUAUGUAAAUCUCCAUCGUUUCUAUGUUAUUUGGGUAGAUGUGAAAACUGUCCAGGGAUAGAUGAAAAAUUACGCGUUCGUAGUGCAAAACGCGGCAUCUGGUUUUCACUGGAACAAUAAUCAAGCAACAAUUUUCCCAGUAGUGAUUUAUUAUAAAGUAAAUGGCGAACUUGAACACAAAAGUUUAGUAAUUAUUUCAGAUUGUAAUAAUCAUGAUGCCGUUGCCGUACAUGUUUUUAUCAAAUUAUUAACUGACUAUGUGAAAAGUCUUCCUGAACGUUGUAACAAAAUUUAUUAUUUUUCUGACGGGGCUCCUCAACAAUUUAAAAACUUUAAAAACUUCGUAAAUUUAUAUUAUCACGAAGAGGAUUUCGACAUUCCUGCUGAAUGGCAUUUUUUUGCGACAGCCCAUGGCAAAGGUCCAUGUGAUGGUAUUGGUGGUACCAUUAAACGAUAUGCAGCAAGAGCAAGUCUCCAACUUGCGGUUGACAAACAAAUAACAACGCCUGAAGAACUCUUUGAAUGGACUUCUGAUCCGGACAACUUGCCAAACAUCAUAACUAAGUUUUCCCCAGAAGAGGAUUAUAAAACAGCAGUAAAUGAUUUAAAUGAAAGAUUUUUAAAAACAAAACCGAUCACAGGAACUCAACAAUUACACUGUAUAAUUCCAGACAAAAAUGG
Cotesia glomerata is the source of this 1310-nucleotide long non-coding RNA. RefSeq lists it as uncharacterized. Lineage: Eukaryota; Metazoa; Arthropoda; Insecta; Hymenoptera; Braconidae. The transcript has 4 exons. The record is from RefSeq and is a predicted model, not a curated record.